RNAcentral lists this ribosomal RNA (253 nucleotides) under uncultured bacterium. RNAcentral's name for it is "partial 16S ribosomal RNA". It matches the Rfam family "Bacterial small subunit ribosomal RNA", at positions 524 to 776 of the family's 1533-position model. The record is from RNAcentral.
UACGGGGGGGGCAAGCGUUGUUCGGAAUUACUGGGCGUAAAGGGCUCGUAGGUGGCCAAUUAAGUCAGACGUGAAAUCCCCAGGCUUAACCUGGGAACUGCGUCCGAUACUGGAUGGCUUGAAUUCGGGAGAGGGAUGCAGAAUUCCAGGUGUAGCGGUGAAAUGCGUAGAUAUCUGGAGGAAUACCGGUGGCGAAGGCGGCAUCCUGGACCGACAUUGACGCUGAGGAGCGAAAGCUAGGGGAGCAAACGGG